This 64-nucleotide transfer RNA is filed under the name Pycanum ochraceum. RNAcentral describes it as "tRNA-Asp". The record is from RNAcentral. Lineage: Eukaryota; Metazoa; Arthropoda; Insecta; Hemiptera; Tessaratomidae.
AGAAGAUUAGUUUAAGAAAAACAUUAACUUGUCAAGUUAAAAUUAUUUAACAAAAUAUAUUCUA